AGAACGAACGCUGGCGGCAGGCCUCAAACAUGCAAGUCUAGGGGAUGUAGCAAUACAUCACCGGCGGACGGGUGCGUAACGCGUGGGAAUAUACCUAUUGGUUCGGAACAACUGAGGGAAACUUCAGCUAAUACCGGAUGAGCCCUAACGGGGAAAGAUUUCUCGCCAAUAGAUUAGCCCGCGUCCGAUUAGCUAGUUGGUGGGGUAAAAGCCUACCAAGGCGACGAUCGGUAGCUGUUCUGAGAGGAAGAUCAGCCACACUGGGACUGAGACACGGCCCAGACUCCUACGGGAGGCAGCAGUUGGGAAUCUUGGACAAUGGGGGAAACCCUGAUCCAGCCAUGCCGCGUGAGUGAUGAAGGCCUUCGGGUUGUAAAACUCUUUCGACGGGGACGAUAAUGACGGUACCCGUAGAAGAAGCUCGGCUAACUCGUGCCAGCAGCCGC
Molecule: ribosomal RNA, 446 nt
Filed under: uncultured bacterium
Lineage: Bacteria
Description: SSU rRNA
Rfam family: Bacterial small subunit ribosomal RNA
Source: RNAcentral